This is a non-coding RNA of Zea mays, 109 nucleotides long. NCBI's taxonomy places the organism in Eukaryota, Viridiplantae, Streptophyta, Magnoliopsida, Poales, Poaceae. The record is from Rfam.
ACUCUCGUAUUCACCUCAAUCCAUGUGUAUUGAGGUGGAUUGGGGUGUAACUUAAACUAAUUUACACCAUAAUCCACCUCAAUACACGUGGAUUGAGGUGAAUACGAGA